GUGCAUGAAGCUGGAAUCGCUAGUAAUCGCGGAUCAGAAUGCCGCGGUGAAUACGUUCCCGGGUCUUGUACACACCGCCCGUCACACCAUGGGAGUCGGGAAUGCCCGAAGCCGGUGGCCCAAUCGAGAGAAGGGAGCCGUCGAAGGCAGGCCGGAUGACUGGGGUGAAGUCGUAACAAGGUACC
Molecule: ribosomal RNA, 185 nt
Filed under: uncultured bacterium
Lineage: Bacteria
Description: partial 16S ribosomal RNA
Rfam family: Bacterial small subunit ribosomal RNA
Source: RNAcentral